ACUCUCUCUCACAAUUAUUCAGAUCAUCUGAAGACUCUGACAUUCACUUAUUAUUUACCACAUCAACAGCACUUCACACCGAUGAGAUGAUACACUAUAGAUGAAUCACUUUCAUCGUCACAUUCACCACAAGCUGAAGAAGAUCUCACGGCUUCCGUCUUAUAUAAGGUGCUCUGGACAUAAACACAGGAUGUAUGUGCAUAUAAACCCCACGAAGCACUGGAUCUGGUGGAGGAUAAUGGUGCUGCUUAAUUCAAUUGGAAAACGUUGCCAUGGUUUUACAUUAAUAUGUUUCUAUGUUGCCGGCGCAUUGGUUGUCAUGGAGAUGAUGGGACUUAUUUAAGCUGAAACCUCAGCUUUGGUUGGAAGGAAAGGGGGGGAAAAACACGAGAGAAAAGAAGAGAGAGAAGUCUGUGUGUGUUUUCAUCUCAUUAGAUUUAGAUUUGUUUUUUAACCCACAGUCAAAAGAAAAAAUUGCUACAAAACGGAUCUGUGCCACACAAGUCUUAUUGUGUUUCAUUAGAGAAAGUGAAACAAGCUUUCAGUUUAAUUAAAUGACUUGCAGAGAGCAGCACAUCCUUUCAUAACCCGUGAUUGCUCUCCUGAGCUCUCUGCAAAACCACACCACGAGCUCUUUCUACAACAUGUUGUGAGCAUUUAUUGUAUUCUGUUGAGGGUUUCGGGCAGGUUUCUAUUUACACGGUACAUCCAAGCACGCACUUUAAUUGUCUCACAAUGAAAUAAGCAAUAGCUGGUUAGAAGAACUCCAUAACCUCAGGUGGAUGCGAGCGAGGGUCUGUUAAAGGCAACAUGAAACGGCAUCGACAACACAACAGUGAAUCGAUUUUAUGUUGACUUCAAAGCAAUAGUUCACCUCAAAACUGAAGCUGGCUGAAAAUGUCCUCACACUCAGGUCAUCCAAGAUGUAGAUGAGCUUGUUUCUUCAUCAGAUUUGGAGAAAUGUAGCAUUGCAUCACUUGCUCGCCAAUGGAUGUGAAUGGGUGCCGUCAGAAUGGGAGUCCAAAUAAUCCACAAGUAAUCCACAGUACUCCAGUCCAUCAGUUAACAUCUGGAGAAGACAAAAGAUGAAACAAAUCCAGCAUUAAGGUGUUUUUAAAUAAAAUAUGAGUCUAUAAUCCA
Molecule: long non-coding RNA, 1140 nt
Organism: Cyprinus carpio (common carp)
Lineage: Eukaryota; Metazoa; Chordata; Actinopteri; Cypriniformes; Cyprinidae
Source: Ensembl